AUGAUUUAUUUUUAAGAAGCCCUGUAAGUGCCUUGCUUUCAUAUAAUUGUAUAUAAUCUACAGACCAGCCAAUUCCCUAUGGGCCAGACUGUAAAUUAUAUCCUUAUAAACGGUGCGUUCUGGCGUCAGAACGCGCCGUUUAUAUUCUUAAAGAGACAGCAAUUGCAGCUGCUGCUCUAUCCUCUACCGUUGCUUCACAUCAGUUUAGCUUUCAAUCACCACAUAAUCAUUUUCUUACUUCCCACACACGAAACACGCUCCGCCUGUUCCAGUCCCUCCCACAUAUUUGCUUAUCUUUCGCUCGCGUCUCACAUCUCGUGCAGCUGCCUCCCUGUCACAGGAUUCCUCUCUGCUCGCUCCCCCUCCCAUCCACCAUCGCAUUUGCAAGUCUCGCUCCCUCCUCCCAUCCACUAUCUCAAAUCUCGCUCAUUCCUCUCAGCCACCAUCUCAAAUCUUGCUCCCCCCUCCCAUCCACCAGCUCAAGUUUCACACUCCCCUCCUUCCCUUGCCUCCGCUUGUUCAUCUCAGCUGAAUGACGUUACAUAGAGCAGGCUCCUGAAGAACGCAAAAGUAAUAAAGAUGGACCACAGGUUACGACCUUGGGUGGCUGAUCCUCCAAUGAUGGCGUAUAAGACAGCGACAAACUUGCGGGACCAGCUAGUCCAUGCAUUGAGUGAACCUCCCAAAAAACAAGGCACAGCAUCAGGUGAACCAGUUACGUUUUAUGAGAAUAGAACAGAUGAAAAGGCCUACUCGAGGUGGAGACAGGGAAUUACUUCUCAAACAAAUGGUAUUGACAUGGAUAUACAAAUUGAAUUGCCUCUCUCCCAAUGGUCUCAAUGAAGUUCCCCGGAUCCGGAAUACGAGGCAUUGUUGGACAGCUAGAAUCCAAAGUUCCAGUGGCAGUCGGUUCGUUGUCCCCUUCAAUACUAUGUCUCUUUACCCCUCUCUCACUAAUAUAGGUAAAGACACGUUACCCUCUGCCCCUUCAAUGGAUGUGGUAAGUACAUAUCCAUUACGUACCCAAGCUGUGUUUGAAGGGGAAAGUACAUCACCCAAAUAUAGUGUUACCUGGUACCAGCCUUUUCCUCGCUCUGAGCAAUUGGCACUUCUAGAAGGUGUACCCGACCCUGACGUUAACCCAGCAGGGUUGGUAAAAAAGUUAAAAGCCAUACAGACAAUUUACACGGCAACACGCAGGGAUAUAGAACAAAUCAUGAAAUUAGGAUUUGGUCCAAGAGUGUUGCCAAUUUUAGAACUCUGUAAGGCACAUACGCAAGCAAAAGGAAGAUUCCUGCCUCCUGGCCACAUGGCAACAUAUUAGCUAAUCAAGAUAAUCCUGAUAAUGAAGUUGCUUUAACUAUUUUGUUCUCUAUGUUAAAAGGUGACAAACAACCCAAAACUGGAGAGGAAAUUCGAACUGACCAGUUAAGGGAUGAAAUUAAAAAGUGUAUAGAUGAGUAUAAAGACUUGAAUGGGCAUCUAAACAGAAUGUGAUGAAGCAAAUACAGAAGUUAAGAACCUAAUGCAUAAUAACAAUGUGGGGCUGGGUGGUGAACACGUAAAAAUGAAAGAAACUAAACUAAUAUCUAUCUGUAAGAGUGGGUGGGCAAUUAGAACUUGUAACAUCUUUGUUGGUUUCUGAUACUGUGCCUGUAAAUCUUUUGGGGGCAGACAUACUGUCACAAAUAAAUGCAUGUAAAUAAUUUACUGAAAAUGGAGUGCACCCCACAAGCCCCCUAGCUGACAAUGUUGUUGCUGCCAUUUUUUUGUUAGUAAUUUCCAAGCAGACAAUUGAAGAUAUUGAACAUAAACUAAAAGAGGUGCCUGAGUCCCUGUGGGAAACAGGCAAAUAUGAUGUAGGAACAUUAAAUGUUCCCCCUGUGCACAUAAAACUAAAAGAGGGAGCUGUAUUGCCCAAACUGCCUCAAUACCCUCUAAAUGCACAGCAAAUUGAAGGAAUAAGAGCACAAAUUGAGGAAUAUGAAAAAGUUGGGGUGCUCAUAAAAAAAUUAGGUAACCAGUUAUUUGAAAAUUGGUCCCUUAAUCUAUAAUAAAAAUCUAAAUUGUGUACAAAGUAAACAUUUUUUAGUAGCAAGACUAACAAAGUAUGAAGUAGCUUUACUAACACCAUCAAAUCUAACGAUCAAAAGAUGUAAUGUCCUCAACCCUGCCAAACUAAUACCUGAAAAAGGGGGGGAUGAUAUGUUGACAUACAUGACUGUUUUGAAAUGAAGCAAAGUGAGGUUACAAGGGUUUGAUAAUGUAAAAGAUGAACCUGUGUUAAAUCCUGAUUGUGAAUUGUUUUUUGAUGGAUCUCGCUACUGUACUGAGGAUGCUAAAUAUCUUAUGAUGUUGUAACAUUUGUCUGAUGUUUUAGUUCAGCAGAGUCUACCUCCACAUAUGUCAGCUCAAGAAGCUGAGCUACAAGCACUCAUCACAUCAUUCAUGCACACUAGCGGAAGGUCAAAGGGUGAACAUCUUUUCUGAUAGCAGGUACUGUAUUGGUAUUUGUCUCGACUAUCUUCCGAUUUGGAGGGCCAGAAAUUUUGACGUCAUCAGGUAAACCAAUUAAGAAUGCAGAUUUAGUAAAACAGCUAUUGUUAGCAUUACAGCUUCCAACUGAGGUAGCCAUUCUUAAAGUAGAAGCGCACA
This is a long non-coding RNA of Xenopus laevis (African clawed frog), 2655 nucleotides long. RefSeq lists it as uncharacterized. Lineage: Eukaryota; Metazoa; Chordata; Amphibia; Anura; Pipidae. The record is from RefSeq and is a predicted model, not a curated record. The transcript is spliced from 4 exons.